GACGAACGCUGGCGGCGUGCUUAACACAUGCAAGUCGAACGAUGAAGCUGGAGCUUGCUCUGGUGAAUUAGUGGCGAACGGGUGAGUAACACGUGAGUAACCUGCCCCGAACUCUGGGAUAACUGCUGGAAACGGUAGCUAAUACUGGAUACGACCUACGAAGGCAUCUUCUGUAGGUGGAAAGAAUUUCGGUUCGGGAUGGACUCGCGGCCUAUCAGCUUGUUGGUGAGGUAAUGGCUCACCAAGGCGACGACGGGUAGCCGGCCUGAGAGGGUGACCGGCCACACUGGGACUGAGACACGGCCCAGACUCCUACGGGAGGCAGCAGUGGGGAAUAUUGCACAAUGGGCGCAAGCCUGAUGCAGUAACGCCGCGUGAGGGAUGACGGCCUUCGGGUUGUAAACCUCUUUUAGUAGGGAAGAAGCGAAAGUGACGGUACCUGCAGAAAAAGCACCGGCUAACUACGUGCCAGCCGCCGCGGUAA
Molecule: ribosomal RNA, 484 nt
Filed under: uncultured bacterium
Lineage: Bacteria
Description: partial 16S ribosomal RNA
Rfam family: Bacterial small subunit ribosomal RNA
Source: RNAcentral